Ctenopharyngodon idella (grass carp) is the source of this 16181-nucleotide long non-coding RNA. RefSeq lists it as uncharacterized. NCBI's taxonomy places the organism in Eukaryota, Metazoa, Chordata, Actinopteri, Cypriniformes, Xenocyprididae. The transcript is spliced from 2 exons. The record is from RefSeq and is a predicted model, not a curated record.
CCGGGAUUAUGGUGUUGAAAGCCGAACUGAAGUCCACAAACAGGAACAGGAACAGGAUUAUGGGUGCAACAGUCUGUCAAUGGCAGUCCCUUAUGAAACUGGACCAUUACUACAGUGACCAUAGUUCAGCUGAGCCUAUAGUAUUUGUAGAUUUCCAUGGUUACCACUACAAAUAAACAUUUUAACCAUGUGUAAACAAAAAUAUAAUCUAAUAAAUUGCAAUUAAGGCAAUUUGAAUGUUAAAUUACCUUUCAAAUAUAAUAUGAAGUAGGUACCAUUACCCAUUUUGCUUUUAGUAAUUCAAUAAUUUAAGGACUUAAAUUAUUAAUAAUUUAAUAACUUAAAUUCAGAUGAGAGGUAUCGUAUCGAUAUAGGCGAUUUUGGCCUUGAAAGUAUCGUAUCGAAAACAAAAUAAGUGGUAUCGCCCAUCCCUAGUUUAGUGUCUAAAAACGCUCGUCAAUGUCAAAAUGUCUGCGAUAUCCAAUCAAAUCGAAGGAGGCGGGAUUUACUGUCCACAGAAACCGAGCAGCGCGGCACUUUUUAAUGCUUGAAGAAUGCGAGCCGAGGUAAGAUAAGCAGCUGAACAUGACGAGACGAUAAAAUACAGCAAUAUUUACAGACUGUUUACGAUAAAACAAAGUACAUUCAUUCCAGAGAUGCAACUACUUCUGGCCUUUUUGAAUUUCAUAUUUUAAUGCCAUGUUAUUCUCACACAAUGAACAAAGAAACAUUAACGUAGCCUAUAGUUUUCAGCAUGUCAGAUAAGAGUGAAUGUUUGUGUAGCCUGUCUGUUGUCAGGAUUUCUAAUUUCACAAUCAUCUGAAAAUUAUUCAUAAAACUCAAAAUAUCAUUCUUAAAUUUACACUAAAACAUGGUAAUAGCCUAUUUCAUAUUCAAGUAGCCUAUGUCCCGUGUUAGGAAAGUAUCUAAAAUAAAAAUAUAGGCUAAUUUGCUAAUUAGUUCACAUGCAUUAUUUUACACACUGGAGAUCAAAAGUUUGAAUUAAGACUUAAUGUUUUUGAAAGAGGAAGGCUGAAUUUAUUUGAUCAAAAAUACAAUUAAAAAAAAAUAUUAUAAGAUAUUUAUAAAAUUUCAAAUAGAUGUUUUCUAUGUGGAUUUAUUGUAAAAUAUAAAUUAUUCCUGUGAUCAAAGCUGAGUUUCCAGCAUCAUUACUCCAGUCUUCAGUCAUGUGAUCCUUCAGAAAUCAUUCUAAUAUGAUGUAUUUUUUCAUAAACAUAAGAAUUUUUACACUUUUCCACAACUGGACCUGUAUUCCAUAAAAUGACCGAAGCCCCUGAAAGGACAAACACUAGAAAGGCACCAUAAAACAUUCUGCACUACAUUCUAAGACCAAACCAGAGCAUUGUUAUGGAUGGUUUAAUGUCAGGUAUUGAACUUUAGUGAUAUUAAACUUCCUGUAUGGAAAAGAGAUUUGAAAUUUUUUUAAAUUAUUCACUAUUUGCCAUGUGCACCAGGAAAGACAAAUUAUAACGUAAAGAAGUAUGCCAGUCAUUCAUUAAUAUUAAUGAUAAGCAUUUCGAUAAUAAUAAUAAUAAUAAUAAUAAUAAAAAAUAGCAUUUAUAUUUCUGUACAAAUAGCAUUUAUAUUUUAUGUUAUUAAGUGGUGUAAAAACAUUGGUGGGUUUUACGGUGAGGUGUGUUGUGGACCGUGUGAUGGGCCGCUUUGUGCUGGAGAGUCCAGGGCCACUUUUUUGCCCCAGUCCGCCCCUGUUAAUAACUAUGAUUGGGAAUGUCAUAUAUAUUCAUAACAUUAUAAUGAGCAGACCAGUGGCGGAGGCAGAAAGUGGAUGGUGGGUGGGCCAGAAUAAUUCGCAUCAUCCCAUGUUUUUCAACUGCCUUAAUUUGGGAGGGAAAAUGCACCGUCCAAUGGACCGUCCCUCAGUGGCGUCAAUUCACUAAAAGUCAAGGUAUGGCAAGUUCAAAUUACGUUAUUUAAUCUAAAAAUAUUACAUGACAAUAUCAAUUCAAGUAAAUCUAGAACGAGAUAAGAACAAGACAAAACGGCAGUUACAACAUUAACCAACAGCACCAACCGAUUAAAAAAAAUAAUAACCUAAAAUAAAAAAAAAAUUAUCACAUAUUUGGAAAUAACCUAGCAUGGUAACAGGCAGCUAUAUGGAUAAAUAAAAAUAACAAAAAAAGUCAGCUCUUGCCUUACGAUUCAAAAAAAAUAAAAAUAAAAAAAUAAAUUCUGAUUUGAAGCUUGUGACAAACGCGCACACAUUAACCCGAUCACUUUAUUUAGCGCUCAGAUUCAUCAAAUGAAUUCAUUCAGAUUAAAACAAAAGAUGUCUAAACAUAUCCAGUGUUGCCUGCUAACUGCUUACUCGUAGCAAAACAGCUGAAAGUAUUCCUCAUAUGUUGACAUUAUUUAUUGUCUUGUCUUUUAAUAUAGUCUACUUCUACGUGUUGAGACAUGGUUUCUCAAGCCCCUGUACGAGCUGUGUUUGAGAUGUUUGAGUUGGGAGAGGCUGUCUGAGGGGCCGUUCACAUAUCGCUUUCUCCGGUGCGUCCCACUUCUCGUACUUAUGCACUAUUCUAUGACGUUUUUAAGUAGUGUGAGUAGUGCGUUCACACAGAAAAUUCCAAAAAGAAAAAGUGCACUUUAAAUACCCGAACGAUGCACUAAAUUAACGGAAAAAACGAAGUGUGGAAUGUUGGACACUUCAUGCACUCAACUGUUGCAGCUUUAAUUACAUUUCUGAGGAGGAGGGGGGGGGGAUCAGACUCCGAUGAUUAAUGACAAAAUAAGCUUAUAAAAUUCAUACACUACAUGGAUGAGUACAUAGUGUAUAAGUGCAUAGUGUGUCAUUUGGGACACAACUAUAGUGUAUAAAGUGCAUGGUAUAGUGCGUCAUUUGGGACGUAACUCUUCUUUCCCAAGCGCUCGCGCUCCCAGGGCGUCUGUCGUUGCUAUGAUGUCAACAUUACAAUUUAGAGAAUGGAGUUAGCUAACAAUGUAAUAAUUUAGGCAAUUUAAUUUACAAUCACUGUUAGCAGUUUAAUUGAAGGUAGAAGCAAUGAGCUCCUGGAAAUAAUGAAUUACAUAUUAACAAUAAUUUGGAUAUAUAGAAAUUUGGGAAUGUUCACGUUGAUCCAGAUGUUGCGUCAUCUGAAGUCCUCGCAGGAGUUGGCGCCGUCUCUUCAAGUGUUGGUCAUCUGAGGCCUUCUUAAGAGGCUGGAUCCAAACAAACUGAUGUACUCUCUAGUCACCUCAGGACGGGAAAAGCAAAUGGAGAAUAAUUAGCAUAGCUGCUGUUCAUAACAUUAAGCAAAGAUAGUCAUGUGCAAUUGAUCUGAUAUGAGAUGGAUUAUGUGAAUGCUUGGCUAAAGAGAUGCGUCUUUAAUCUAGAUUUAAACUGGGUGAGCGAGUCUGAGCCCCGAACAUUAUCAGGAAGGCUAUUCCAGUGUAAGGAACCCCGCAUCGGCCCAAAAACAGUUCACUUAAUUUCACUCGUUUAAUCUGACUCCAAUUUUAAAUGAUUAUUACUCUUAGGUUUUGUUCCCAAUUGGAAAUUAAUCAUUUGUUAUGUAUUAAUUUUGAUUUUUGAUUAUUCUGGGUAUCUCAUAAUUCCAAUUAUUCGUUCAUUACGGUCUCAUCAUCGCUUAGAGAAAUUCACAUCGGCCGGCUGCGUUCUCACGGACAUAAAUUCGCCAGUUUAUGACCUAGUCAGAGGAUGCAGAGUUAACUAAUGCAUUUGAGUCGAACCGCCACAUGCUUGUUCAUACAAAAAUACAGUUUUCUUAGUCACGAUACUGCAACUUGCUAAUUCAAUAACAGACAAACUCAAAAAGUCCCAUGAUGUGCCAAUAUGCUCCUUUCAUGGGGCUCUCUGGCUUGGCCUGUCCUGACGCAGAUUUACGGAAAUGACGGACUCCAUAAUCUACUGGUCAUAAUGAUUUCAGAAGAAUCCAGAGUAAAUCAAAUAUAACAUUUUAUUUGUCAAGUAAAAAUGUAUGUCAAUUUCAUAGUUGGACAAUUAAAAGCCAAUUCAGAAAUAAUAAAUGCAUAACAUCAACUGAAAUGCACAUGCACACAGUGGUGGAUUAGUGUUUGAAGACACUUGUCCACCACUGUGUGGGGGCUUCUGGCUACAGAAAAUCCCCCCUGACUGCUUUGCACUUUACCUUAUAUACCAAGACCAGAACAAAAGGAUUGUAAAUUUUUAUUACACCAACACCUGUUUUGGGGGGAGAGGAGUGGGUUUUCACAAGUGACACCACCCAAAAGGAGGACAGAAUUCUCCUUAGUUUUCAAUCUUCUUCAUAAUACCAGUGACUGCUGUGAAAUUGAGACCAUUUUACCAAUCGCACUGAGACAUUUAAAAUGAUACCAAACAUGAAAGGAAUAAACAAUAGAUACACCAGAUACAUUAUACUUCUUGGAGAACUUUCAGUGACUUGAGUCAGGGGGAAAGGAAGGAGGGUGUGUGUGUUUUUGGGGGGAGGGCUAUUGCAUCCUGUAGAUGUGUGAGGGCAAGGCGUUGUCCUAUGCUAUUUCUUUGAGAUCUUCUCUCCAGAUAAGCUUUAUUGCUUUAUUGCAGGGUGCUUGAUCUCAGUUUUUGUCUUAGCAGGAAAAUCAAGUCUUACAGUUCCGCCCCUGGCCCCUUGGGGCAAAUUCCGAUCAGUCCUGAGGGGCCACUUUUGGACAUUUCCUGCUUCCAUAUAUUGGGUGUUGUUUUCAGAGUGUUCAUAGGCUGGCACUUAGCAGCACCAGUCGAUGGGUGCAGGAGUCAAGUCGUCACCUGAAAUAACAACAUUAAGGCAGGUUGAACAUUAAGAUGAAAGUACUGCAGAAUGCAUCUCUGUGACACACAGUCCCUUUAGGUGUGGGUAUACUGCGGUGAGUGGAUGCUGCAGCAGCUGGACAUGAUGUCUGCGAUCCUCUUGGUCAGGUUUGUUUCCACCUGCACUUGGCUGUGGUGGUAUUCUGUCUGUAGAAUGACUGGUUGUACCAAGUCUGUUGUGUUGGUCAGCAUGAGCAGAACGUGUCAGGAAAGUCUCAUUACACUUUACGGAAGCAUCUGUGUCCGCCCCAGGUUUAAUUGAUCCUGUGAGAAGUCCUCGGUUACCUUCAAGUAGAAGGUUUCGUUGCCGGGCAGGUCAAAUGUCCAUGGGUGAAGGAUUCAUUUCACUGAUGAUGCUCCAUUGCGUGCAGGACACCUGAACAACUUUUGGAUGAUCAUGCAAUACUUGAACACUAAUGAAUUUGAUAUUAUUGUAAGAUGAGAAAAAGGGCUGUUGGAAAACAGAAUAAUACCAAAUAACACAUGAUGAACAUGUCAAAAGUGCGAAUGGUAAACAAGGUCUCCUUUUCAGAGUCCUAUCUUUAGUGAGCAGGUCUCAUUCUAAUCACCAGAUUCUUCACUAUCACUGUGAUAUGAUAGUGGAAUUUAGACUUGGUCUGGAUGAGUUAAAGGAAAGUAGCAAAGAGUCGAAAUAACUAGUAUAUUUACCAGUGGUAUGCAUAAUUAAAUAUAUCACAUACUUAAACAUAGAAAUACACAAUUUCAUAAUUACAAUUAUAAAACUGUCUAUAAUAGUUGUUUUAACUGCAAAUCCUUAAUGCAAAACUAAGGUUUCAAUCAAGUCAAUUAGAGAAUGGAAUUUACUGAAACAGAGAUUUGAAAUCUCUUGUUUAGCUUUUACAACCAUCAUCUGUGCAUUUGAUGUGCAGGCUAAGUCACACUCAAGAAUACAGGUCUGACUGGAAAUUAUGUAACAGAUUGACAGAAAUGCCUGCAUUUCAGUUCUAACUGUUUAGUCAAAUUUGUCAUUAGUCAUAUGUUGUAAACUAGGGGGCCCUCCUAGUUUGCAACAAUGCCAAGGACUGGACAUAAUAACCAUUUUGUCUAAAGAGACCAGUUGCAUUACUGAAUAGGUCUCAUUUAGAUUUGGAAUUUGGAAUUUGAAUGAUCAGAAAUUCUAUUAAUUGAUGUGUGACUAAAGCCAUGCACAUGUCCUGCAUAUUACAGUGUUUCCAUAACACCUUAAAAUUGACACAAUUAAAAAGAAAAGAAAUUAUGGCAAUAAUUUCUCUUGUCCUAUAUGUAUGAAGGUGAAUGAUGUAUGCUAAAUUUGCAUUAUGUGAAAAAUUUUAGCCUGGAUAGUCUUAUGAUCUAUGCCAGGUGGAGAUGUUGUGCAUUUGUAGUAGGGUGUGUGUUCUGUAUGUUUGUGUAGAAGAUGGGUGGUGUCUAUCCUACCAUGAUUUGUGUUGCAUAAUUUAGUUCCAGUUCUACACUGGGAGGCCAUGUAUCUAUGAGUGCAAUGAGGUUUGAAUGGCCUCUUGAAGUUUCUACACACCCAUCUUCUGCAAGUAAAGUUGUGUCCUGGCUAAAUGCAGGUGGGACCAGAUACCCUUGUGGAAUCUGGCCCUAAAAAUGGCAGCUGUCAGUCUGAAAGGGAAACAGACACACAGAAAAAACAGUUGAUCUUGAACCUUUAAACAAAUUGCAUUAAGAUAGAUGGUGCCAUCUUAAUUUUCUUGAAUGGUCUUAUCCAGACAGCUGUUGCGGAUGGCUUUAAUCUGUUAAGAUUUUAUGCCAUUAGAAGAAAAUUUUUUUUAGUUUACAAAUUCAUAGAUCAUUAUUAUGAUUAUGUUUCUGCAAAGGAAAAGGCCAGAUAAACUGAGUGUUAUUGGUCAGAUCUGACUGCUGGUUUUUAAGCAUUGUCAGAGAAUCUUGCACCUUGAGUUGCUGUUGCAGCUGUGCUUACACAGUCUGUUGUGUUGUGAGGAUUAUGACACCCGGGUCUCCUGGGGGAAUCUCACACUAGCCAGAUCUGUGAUUAGGGCACCAGAUCACCAUUUGUGGUGUUGUGCUGUUUGUUUAACAAUUGGUAUUUAUGGUGCCAUUCAAAUACUUGACCAUUUGGACCUCUGUGGUCUGUAAAAACAGAAGAGUUUCUGCCUGAUAUUACCAUUUCACGCAACUUUAAUUACAUGUCCAGUAAAAUAACUUCCCUGAUCGGAUCCCAUAUGAUCUAGCGCUCCCAGAGAGGAGUUUGCUAACACUUGUCCACUUUGUUUGUGGUUUUGUUGCAAAGGAAAAUCAAAACUUGUACCUCCCCUUGUCACUGAUCAAUAGAAUCAAGUUUUAAAUCAUGUUUAGAUCUUGAAUGGAUUUAGCCUAUUCAAGAUAUGACAAUCAGGUUGAUCGUUUUAGUUAAUAAAUACUGGGCGUUGUAAUUUUUCUCAUUAAAGAUUCUUGCACAGAUAGAAGAUAAAGAAGUUAUUUCUCAUUAAUUUGAUUUCUUCCUUCCAUUUUUCUUUCCUAACAACUUAUUUAAUGCAAUUGUGAAGCACAUUGUAGCCUUAUGGCAAUUCUAUGCUCCUGUACAUGGUGUAACUGCAGCUAUAUGAAAGAUAGCUGAGUGAUCCACUCAGGAGACAAACAAAUUCAACAUAGACACACAUACAACUUGAAAUUGUUGUACAAUUUUAGUACUACAGUUAUUCCAACUUACACAAGACACAUGGUCUAGAAUGCAUAGCAUCUACAACCUUAAACCUAAGUGUGUCAAGCAUCACUUACAGUAAAGCAGUCUUAGUUUUAAAGAAUAAACUCAACUAGCCUAGGUGCACAUAUAGUAGCACAAACAACUAGAAUGUGUGUUCUAUGAGAACAAUGUGUCUAACACAAUUACAAAUUUGAAUCCUUCCAUUGAUUCCUUAUAAUUCUUCCAGCACUGAUAGUGCUCCCAACUUCUGUCUACAUUCUGGUUCCACCUUACUACAUUCUAAUUCCUUCUGCUCUUCUCCAAAACUCUUUCUCCCAUACCAUUGCUUGAAUCAUCAUGAGAUUAAAGGCCAUUCUUGGAUAUUAAUAUAUUAUAUAUAUCAUAAUGUGAUUAUAAUAUCAAUUAUAUUAUAUUAAAAUAGUAUAAAUUAAAAAUAAUUUUAUUUGCUGGUCUCAAGAGGGUCAGAGUGAUUUGUUAUCACCUCACUGAUCUUUUAGAAGGCAUUUGGCCCUGCAGCUACAGCUGUGAUGGCACUGCAUUGUGUUCACAGCAACAAGACAAACUGGAAACCAGUUCUAGACUUUGAUGCUGUGAAUAUUGGGUCAAAUCAUUGCUCAAUUCAUUUAAGAUUUUUGUGACUACAAUAUAAAAUUGGACACAAUUUUCUUAUUUUUGGACUAAGAUGUAAUCAAUUACAUUCUUCUGAGAAUCUAUUUGGAUAUGAAAAGAAAGGUUGGACAAACACAGGUCUGAUUGAGAGUACAAAGAUUAAUUUUUGGUCUGUUUGUUUUUUCAGUUUCUUUUGAGACACUGAACAACAUACAAGAGUGCAGUCAUUUUAAAUAAGACCAAGGUAAAAGAUAUGUUUUAUAAGACUGAGCCUUAAACAGUGCUGUUUACACCAUUUGUGACAUCAGUCGUAAACCUUCUUAGCACCUCUUGAACAAUUUCAAAGUAUAGUGAUGUAAUUCACCUUAUUCGUUGGCAAAAUUUCUUUUAUGAAACAAAGACAAGCUGAGCAUGUCCUCUGAAUGGGUGAAACCCUCAGGCUCGGCUACAAGCUUCUCAUUGACAUCAUAAUUAUCAUUAUGUACAUCAGUUUUAACAUUUAGUGUAUUUUCCCAGUUGCAGUCUCUAGGACUUCUGCAUGGCAGCAGUUCUCCAGGACUGAGACAAAAUUUCAACCAAAUCUUUUCUUUUGAAAAUUUUUAGUUUCACUACUCUGUUUUGUCCAGCUUUACAUUUCACACACAAAGGAUUACAGUGAGAGAUUUUGUUCCUUGUUCUAUUUUGGUUUAUCCAAUCACAAGAUUUUUCACAAGUUAACGUGACCAUUUGCUUAUUUUCAAUGUUGCAACGUUGUUACAGCAAAGCAAAUAAACAUGUAGCUGGGCAUUCUUCACCUCAGAAUUUAGGUUUUAAUUUACAGCCCUCUGUUGAAUACCAGAAUAAAAUUUGGAUUAUGUUAUUCCAAUUUAAGGUUAAUCUCUUGUUGCGUAAGCAAACAAGGAGAUCUUCAAAGUUAAAGCAAGGGAUAUCAUUCCUCAUCUACGCUGCCGCUAUCAUGUCCCUGAUAAGAUGUGGUUGUCUAAUUCUCCAGCCCCACCGGAUUUCGGUCUCCGGUCUUAAUAUGGGUAUGCCGACCCAUUCUACAAAUGCGUCUAUAUGGGAUGCGUCUAUCUUUCCCUCAACACUUCUAAAAGGCAAAUAAGAAUGGACUUACCACAACAGCUGAAGAAAGAAGAAGAUCAAACCUUGCUUGUUGCAAAUCCCAAUUUUCCGCUGAAAAGACACUCGCCAACAGGAUAUGGAAGAUCACGUCGGGGUCACCACUUUGUAAGGAACCCCGCAUCGGCCCAAAAACGGAAUCCGACGGCCUGGGCGAAGGUUAACGCGUGUAUGUCUUUUCAGCGCAUCUGUGAAGUUCACUUAAUUUCACUCGUUUAAUCUGACUCCAAUUUUAAAUGAUUAUUACUCUUAGGUUUUGUUCCCAAUUGGAAAUUAAUCAUUUGUUAUGUAUUAAUUUUGAUUUUUGAUUAUUCUGGGUAUCUCAUAAUUCCAAUUAUUCGUUCAUUACGGUCUCAUCAUCGCUUAGAGAAAUUCACAUCGGCCGGCUGCGUUCUCACGGACAUAAAUUCGCCAGUUUAUGACCUAGUCAGAGGAUGCAGAGUUAACUAAUGCAUUUGAGUCGAACCGCCACAUGCUUGUUCAUACAAAAAUACAGUUUUCUUAGUCACGAUACUGCAACUUGCUAAUUCAAUAACAGACAAACUCAAAAAGUCCCAUGAUGUGCCAAUAUGCUCCUUUCAUGGGGCUCUCUGGCUUGGCCUGUCCUGACGCAGAUUUACGGAAAUGACGGACUCCAUAAUCUACUGGUCAUAAUGAUUUCAGAAGAAUCCAGAGUAAAUCAAAUAUAACAUUUUAUUUGUCAAGUAAAAAUGUAUGUCAAUUUCAUAGUUGGACAAUUAAAAGCCAAUUCAGAAAUAAUAAAUGCAUAACAUCAACUGAAAUGCACAUGCACACAGUGGUGGAUUAGUGUUUGAAGACACUUGUCCACCACUGUGUGGGGGCUUCUGGCUACAGAAAAUCCCCCCUGACUGCUUUGCACUUUACCUUAUAUACCAAGACCAGAACAAAAGGAUUGUAAAUUUUUAUUACACCAACACCUGUUUUGGGGGGAGAGGAGUGGGUUUUCACAAGUGACACCACCCAAAAGGAGGACAGAAUUCUCCUUAGUUUUCAAUCUUCUUCAUAAUACCAGUGACUGCUGUGAAAUUGAGACCAUUUUACCAAUCGCACUGAGACAUUUAAAAUGAUACCAAACAUGAAAGGAAUAAACAAUAGAUACACCAGAUACAUUAUACUUCUUGGAGAACUUUCAGUGACUUGAGUCAGGGGGAAAGGAAGGAGGGUGUGUGUGUUUUUGGGGGGAGGGCUAUUGCAUCCUGUAGAUGUGUGAGGGCAAGGCGUUGUCCUAUGCUAUUUCUUUGAGAUCUUCUCUCCAGAUAAGCUUUAUUGCUUUAUUGCAGGGUGCUUGAUCUCAGUUUUUGUCUUAGCAGGAAAAUCAAGUCUUACACCAGAGUUUAGGAGCCAAAUGUGAAAACGCUCUCCCUCCUUUAGAGGACUUAGCUAUCCUAGGUACAACCAGAAGUCCAGAGUUUUGUGAUCUUAAAGAGCGUGAAGGAUUGUAGGGCGAUUAGAAGAUCGGUUAAGUACACAGGAGCUAAACCAUUUAGAGCCUUAUAGGUCAUUAGCAGUACUUUAUAAUCGAUACGGAACUUAAUAGGUAACCAGUGAAGAGAUGAUAAAAUUGGUGUUAUAUGAUCAUAUUUUCUUGACCUGGUAAGAACUCUAGCAGCUGCAUUUUGUACUAAUUGUAGCUUGUUUAUUGAGGAAGCAGGACAACCAGCUAGUAAUGCAUUACAGUAAUCUAGUCUAGACGUUAUGAACUAACUUUUCUGCAUCAGAAACAGAUAACAUAUUCCGUAUCUUAGCAAUGUUUCUGAGGUGGAAGAAGGCUGUUUUUGUAACAUAUGAAAUAUGAUUUUCAAAGGACAAGUUGCUGUCUAAUAUAACACCCAGGUCUUUAACUGUCGAGGAUGGAGUAACAGUACAUCCUUCUAAAUGCAGAUUGUAGUCUGAGAGAUUCUGUGUACAGGUUUUUGGUCCAAUAAGUAAUACUUCAGUCUUAUCUGAAUUUAAUAGAAGAAAAUUACUGGUCAUCCAAUGUUUUACUUCUUUAACACACUCUGUCAGAUUGGAUAAUUUAGAGUUUUCAUCUGGUUGUGUUGAAAUAUAUAAUUGAGUAUCAUCGGCAUAGCAGUGGAAACUAAUUCCAUGUCUUCUUAUAAUAUCACCAAGUGGCAGCAUGUAUAUUGAAAAUAGCAGAGGGCCUAACACAGAUCCUUGAGGCACUCCAUAAUUUACUAUCGUUAUCUUAGAUUCAGCCACUGUACUAAACAAGAACCUUGGAUUGUUUUGGUUAUUUUCUAUGAGUUUGCGGAGAUGCUCGGCCCUGGCUGCUUUUAGAGUCUUUCUAUAACGGGACGAGCUGUCUUUCCACACGAUUCUGAAGACCUCUAAACGAGUUUGUCUCCAUUUGCGUUCUAGAUUACGAGUUUCUCUUUUGAUAGCAUGAGUAAUACUGUAGUACCAUGGUGCAGUAUUUUUCUCUCCAACCUUUUUUAAUCUCAUCGGUGCAACAGUAUCUAAUGUACUAGUGAAAGUGGUGCACAUACUGCUAGUCAUAUCCUCAAGUUCAUUUGUGUGUUUGGGUACAAUGAGCAGGUGAGACAGAUCAGGCAGUUUAUUUGUGAAUUUAUCUAUAGUUGUCGGGAGAAUUGUUCUACCUAGUCGAUAUCGCGGCGCAGUUUGACAAAUAUCCGCAGUAUGCAGUACGCAUGUUACAAGGUAAUGAUCAGUGAUAUCAUCACUUUGCGGUAGAAUUUCUAUAUCGGUAGGAUUGAUUCAAUGUGAUAUAAUUAUAUCUAGUGUAUGAUUAAGACGGUGAGUGGGUCCAGUGACGUUCUGUUUGACCCCAAACGAGUUUAGUAAAUCUGUAAACGCAGCCCCUAACGCAUCAUUUGUAUUAUCUACAUGAAUGUUAAAAUCUCCAACAAUCAGCGCUUUAUCGACGUUGACCAAUAGGUCUGAGAGAAAGUCUGCAAACUCUUUUAGGAAAUCAACAUAAGGCCCUGGAGGUCUAUAAACGGUAGCCAAAGCAAGAGAUAGUAGCGACUUUUCACUUAUAUCUGAGAGUGUAACGUUUAGCACGAGAACUUCAAAUGAAUUAAACCUGUAGUUUGUUUUCUGGGUAACGUUAAGAAAAUCUCUAUAGAUUGUUGCAACACCACCGCCACGGCCAAUCAGACGGGACUUGUUUUUAUAACAGUAGCCAGGUGGACAAGACUCAUUAAGACCGAAAUAAUCAUUUGGUUUAAGCCAUGUUUCAGUAAGGCAAAUUACAUCAAGACUAUUAUCUGUUUUCAUUUCAUUUAUAAUAACCGCCUUAGGUGUCAGCGAUCUAAUGUUUAGAAGCCCUAGCUUUAGAAAUUGUUUUUGUUCAGUAAUUUUGCGAGUUUCUGGUUUGAUCACAAUCAGAUUUUUUCUAGAUCCUUUAUUUUCAUUGUUAAACCUCACUAUUUAGGGAAUAGACAGUUUCUAUAGACUGUACUACACUCACAUUUCUAUCAGUUAAGUGGGCAGAACACAGACUGUGAUUUGAGCAAAUAAUCUACUGAACCUUUCAUGUCCACGUCGGUACGUCGGAAGCGGUCCGGACACGAUGAUCCUCGUCGCGGGCAAUGUGGCUCGUACCGUCUCGAUCAGGCUCCUGAAGUCCUGCUUCAGCACCUCCGUCUGCCGCAGCCUGGUGUCGUUCACCCCCGCGUGCAGAACAACAGCGCCGAUGCUCUCAGCGCCAUUCAGGAUCGCGGGAACCUGCGCAGAGACAUCGAGGACACGAGCACCAGGAAAACAGUGACUGCGCACCUUACCUUUAGCUGAGGUAGCGUGGACGUGACGAACGAUAGAGUCACCGAUGACUACGGUGUCGCGUUCCGCCUCGCGAAGAGGGGAGAAGCGGUUCCUCGUCGAGACCUCGAAAACCAUUUGAUCAUUCAGUGUCUGUAUUGUUUCUUACUUCAAUGCUAUUUCAAGUAAUAAUUUGUCCUAUUGUUUGUAGUUUUUUAAUAACAAAGAUAAAAUAACAAAAAUAACUAAUCGUCCAGCCCUAGUUUCAGGUGUUGUUGUUUUCCUGGAUGUUCCUGAUGUUCAGAUUUAGGUUGAUAUAACUAUAUAUUUUCGAGCAAAGAGUUUUUGGCAUUUAAAUACUGGCAUAAAAUGUUUUCAUUUUUGUUUACAUUGAUGUUAAAAUGACAUUGUCAGAUUUGUGACAUUACUUUUUAAGUAAUGCUAAAACACUUCUGGUCACUUUCAGAAGUUGUAGUGAUCAUUUCUUUUCCCAGAUACAGUGUGGCCAAAAUUAUUAGAACAGUAAGAUUUAUUAUUAUUAAAAGAAGUCUCUUCUGCUCACCAAGACUUCAUUUAUUUGAUCCAAAAUACAGUAAAAACAGUAAAAUUGUGAAAUAUUUACAAUGUAAAUCAUCUGUUUUCUAUGUGAAUAUAUAGUAAAGUGUAAUUUAUUUCUGUGAUCAAAGCUGAAUUUUCAGCAUCAUUACUCCAGUCUUCAGUGUCACAUGAUCCUUCAGAAAUCAUUCUGAUAUGAUGAUUUGAUGAUGAAGAAUUGUGUAAAAUUCUUUUCAGAAUUAUUUGAUGAAUAGAAAGUUCAAAAGAACAGCACUCAAACAAUUUGGUCUCCCAAAGAGGAAUGAGUUUUCUUCUGGGACUCCACACUCUUUCCUUCACCUUAUGAGGUGUGUUAAGGCAUCGACCAUAUAUGGCGAUAGCAACACUGCAACUUUUGGCGCCCGUUUACCCCUAAUUUCCACCCGACUAAAACGUGCACAAAGUUUUUGUUCAAACUUUGUUAGGCCAGCAGCAACAUCCGCAUGGAGGGGAGCUGUGUCCCUUUCAAGGACGUUUUUUUCCUCCACGUCUUGGGUUGAACAGUAUUACUUUAGCUAGAGCUGCUCUGCAAAGUUCCCCAUAGGCUUGUGCUGAUGGGGUCUUUUUCAAGUUCUCAGAUGCUAAAUCUGCCACCUUUUCAAGAUGCUGCUGAAGACACUGAACAUCCUCUGUGAAGGGGAUGGUGGAUGGUUUGUUAAAGUGUGCCUCACUCAAGGUAGCCAAAGCUGUGUGGGAAAUAAGUUCAGCCCACUUCGUGCUGUACAGCUUUCUGAAUGUCUGGGUUGACCUUAUCCCCUCAGUGUCUUCUGCCAUUAAAGCUCUGCAGUGUAUAAUGUUACAGAUCUUUUGCAAUGAGUGACCCAACUUGAGAGCAAGGCCUGGAGUCUGGUAGGAGUGAUUUCAUCAUUAAACCCAGACACCUUCUUGACAGCUUGGAUAAGCACCUUAAAAUUGGCAGGUCUUACAGCAUCCUGUAUUGAAAACUCUCUUCGCAGGAUCAGGAGAAGUCUACCAACUUCCCGGAGCUUCUGUCGAAUAUAGUCAUAUUUAGUGGGAUCCUGUCCAUGUUUAUUGAAAAAUGACUGGGCCAGCUGAAGAGUGCAGAAGUCACUCCGGACAGCAGCAGAGAUGUCAUCAUCUUUCAUAACAGUCAACAGCUUCCAAACACCCAGUGAUAUCUGUUGACACGGGGCUGCGUUAGACAUUGUUGCCAAAGACAAGACCCUAGUUCUUCCUGGCUCUGCCCGAUCCUCCACUGGUUUGGAAAGGCAAUUUCGAACGUGUCGCCACAGAUCUCUCCAAAGAAACAUGGCAGGGCAAUACAUACAAGGCACAUAAUCUUCUGAUUUAUAUUUUUCCUUUGGUUUGUGUCUGAGUUUUAACAACCCUGUCCCACUCGCUAAAACACCUGAACUGUGUUCAUAGUUCCCUUUGUUCCUCAGUUUGUCCAGCAUUGUUUUGCGUUCUUUUGAGCAUUUUGGCAGUGCCAAGACCCGAGCAACAUCCACGUUUGUUUUUUCAUGGAUUUUUAAGUGACGUGUAAAUUUUGACUGUGGUUUGCCACAAAUGUAGCAGUAAUUCUUUUUGUUUACUGAAGAGGACACAUUAGAUGACUGUACACAUGGAUUUUCCCCAAUUCUUGUGCUAUCCUCUAAAGACUUUUCUUCAGUAUUACCAGUCCUUUUUUCACUGUGGACAUCUGAUACUUGAACUGGAUCUUUCAGCAGAGAGUGUUUACCUGUGAGGUUCUCUUGAUGUUGUCUGCCAUUUUGAAUUUCUGCAGUUGAUUCAAUGCAGGACACAUUUUGUUUGUUUGAGAUUGGUUUAGGAUGCUCAAGUUCUGAAUAAACUGCGCUCUCUUCAGAACUGUCUAAAGAAUCGGGUAUAUAGUCCUGAUCUGACAUGUCCUCACUGGAAAACUGUUCCUCAGAAUUCUGGGGGGAAAAAAAAAAAAUCUAAAAAGAAAAACUUCAGGAAGGGAAAGUUAACUCAAAAGGGAAAAAUGUUUAUUUACUCAAUCCCUGGCCAUCAAAUAUGCACAUGCCCUUCUUCAAAAAAAGCCAUAUACAUCUUUGAUGGGUGAGAAAAUAAUCAGUAAAUCUUCAUUUUUGGGUCAAUCAAUUCAUUUAGAGAGAAUUUGAUAAAAUACACUUACCGGUGUUCAGGGGUCAGGUUUGGGCUUCACAUGUUUAUCAUAGCAAGUUUUAUGCCAACAGCAGGAGCAAACUAGACAGAGGAUAAAACAAACUUGUGGUCGUUUGAUGUGAUUCAUUUAUUUUUUCUUUAAUAGCAUUUAAACAAUUAAGAAAGUUGCAAAGGAAAAAAAGGGAAAAAAAGAUAGUUGUAAAGAAAGUGAUAGGUCAAUAGAGGCAGAGUGUGUUACUGAUGAUAUGACAGACAGACACACAGAUGACAAAAGAGAGGUAAUGAUGGACAAAGUAUGUGCGAUAAAGACGGAAGAGAAAAUGUUGAAGUAGCAGUGUUAGAGGUAGUGUAAAUGAAAUUAUGAUGGAUGGACAGAAUAAAAUAAAUAAAAAUAAAGACUGAAAAAUAAAAGAGAAUGUAACUAGAAAAACAGGAGGGAGAGAGUGAUUCAAAUAUAUUGAGGGUAAAAGAAAAAAAAAAUUCAAAAUGUGAUGAGUGGAAUAACAGUGUAUAAUCAGUGUGAAUGAAAGU